This 399-nucleotide transfer-messenger RNA is filed under the name Bacteroidales. Its description in RNAcentral is "B39-G9 sp015222055 Standard tmRNA". It matches the Rfam family "transfer-messenger RNA". From Rfam's summary of the family: Bacterial tmRNA, also known as 10Sa RNA or SsrA, is named for its dual tRNA and mRNA-like properties. The record is from RNAcentral. Lineage: Bacteria; Pseudomonadati; Bacteroidota; Bacteroidia. RNAcentral also lists the same sequence under 1 other name.
GGGGCUGACCUGGUUUUGACAUCAAGUUGAAUUGACUUGCAAGCAUGUCGAGCAUUUGAAUUAAGCUCGUUAAACUUAGUUCUUACUUUUAUAAACGGCGAAAAUAAUUACGCACUCGCAGCUUAGUAUCGCAUAGCGAACUUGCUUAAUUUCUACACCUAGGUGUGUGGAAACGAGUUAUCUCGUAAAUUGUUCUUCUCAAUUACAAUUUACACUGAGGUACCAUCUUAAUUGAGAUAGCUUAAUUAGUGUUUCGAUAAUUAGGCGAAAUUAAGAAACUAAGGAGUUGUUAGGUCGCUUUUUGCCGGACUGCUCUCGAAAAUUAAUAAAAAGCUAAGCAUGUAGAAAACAUUUUGGUCCCUUGUUUGGACCGGGGUUCGACUCCCCGCAGCUCCACAA